GCUUGCUUGCGGGGGAUUAGUGGCGAACGGGUGAGUAACACGUGAGUAACCUGCCCUUGACUCUGGGAUAAGCCUGGGAAACUGGGUCUAAUACCGGAUAUGACCUUCCAUCGCAUGGUGGUUGGUGGAAAGCUUUUGUGGUUUUGGAUGGACUCGCGGCCUAUCAGCUUGUUGGUGGGGUAAUGGCCUACCAAGGCGACGACGGGUAGCCGGCCUGAGAGGGUGACCGGCCACACUGGGACUGAGACACGGCCCAGACUCCUACGGGAGGCAGCAGUGGGGAAUAUUGCACAAUGGGCGCAAGCCUGAUGCAGCGACGCCGCGUGAGGGAUGACGGCCUUCGGGUUGUAAACCUCUUUCAGUAGGGAAGAAGCGAAAGUGACGGUACCUGCAGAAGAAGCGCCGGCUAACUACGUGCCAGCAGCCGCGGUAAUACGUAGGGCGCAAGCGUUAUCCGGAAUUAUUGGGCGUAAAGAGCUCGUAGGCGGUUUGUCGCGUCUGCCGUGAAAGUCCGGGGCUCAACUCCGGAUCUGCGGUGGGUACGGGCAGACUAGAGUGAUGUAGGGGAGACUGGAAUUCCUGGUGUAGCGGUGAAAUGCGCAGAUAUCAGGAGGAACACCGAUGGCGAAGGCAGGUCUCUGGGCAUUAACUGACGCUGAGGAGCGAAAGCAUGGGGAGCGAACAGGAUUAGAUACCCUGGUAGUCCAUGCCGUAAACGUUGGGCACUAGGUGUG
This 734-nucleotide ribosomal RNA is filed under the name Arthrobacter sp. Its description in RNAcentral is "bacterial SSU rRNA". It matches the Rfam family "Bacterial small subunit ribosomal RNA", at positions 76 to 824 of the family's 1533-position model. The record is from RNAcentral. Lineage: Bacteria; Bacillati; Actinomycetota; Actinomycetes; Micrococcales; Micrococcaceae.